GCCCCCAUAGCUCAGUGGUAGAGCGUUUCACUCGUAAUGAAAAGGUCCACUGUUCGAUCCAGUGUCGGGGCA
This 72-nucleotide transfer RNA is filed under the name Talaromyces pinophilus. RNAcentral's name for it is "tRNA-Thr (CGT) (tRNA-Thr-CGT-1-1)". It matches the Rfam family "tRNA". Rfam says of the family: Transfer RNA (tRNA) molecules are approximately 80 nucleotides in length. Their secondary structure includes four short double-helical elements and three loops (D, anti-codon, and T loops). The record is from RNAcentral. Lineage: Eukaryota; Fungi; Ascomycota; Eurotiomycetes; Eurotiales; Trichocomaceae.